AUGGGGCUGUCUCGGGGGUCUCACAGCACGUCCUAUGUUACAGUGUCCUCAGCCACACCCACACUCUUCCCACUGAGCCUUAAGAGCACCGACCAGUCCGGUCAUGUGGUCAUCGGCUGCCUGGUCCAGGGCUUCUUCCCAUCGGCCCCCAUCAACGUGACCUGGAGCCAAAGCGGGGCGGGCACCACCCUCAGGAACUAUCUCCCAAUGCAAUCCGCCGGGGGCCUGUACACCAUGACCAGCCAGCUGACCCUGCCAGCCAGCCAGUGCCCAGAGAGCGCGACAUGCCACGUGCAGCACAACUCCAGCCCCAGGCAGGAUAAGAUCGUGCCCUGCAAAAUCGAAGGCUCAAACAAAUGCUGCAAACCUCACCUGACGCUGCACCGGCCUGCCCUCGAGGACCUGCUCCUGGGCUCCAAUGCCAACCUCACGUGUACACUCAGUGGCCUGGAGAAGCCCAAGGGUGCCUCCUUCACCUGGGCGCCCACAGGUGGAAAGGAUGCCAUCCAGGGGACCCCGGAGAAGGAUGCCUUUGGCUGCUACAGCGUGUCCAGCGUCCUGCCGGGCUGCGCUGAGCCGUGGAAACGCGGGGAGAAAUUCACCUGCACUGUCACCCACCCUGAGGUCAAGAACUCGUUAUCAGCCUCCAUCACCAAACCCUCAGGGAGCUACCUCCCACCGCAGGUCCACCUGCUGCCGCCCCCCGCCGAGGAGCUGGCCCUCAACGAGUUGGUGACACUGACGUGCGUGGUGCGGGGCUUCAGCCCCGAGGAUGUGCUGCUGCGGUGGCUGCAUGGAGGCGAGCAGCUCUCCCCAGAGAAGUACCUGACGUGGGGCCCCCUGCCGGAGAACAGCAGAGACAGCACUUUCGCCAUGACCAGCGUGCUGCGUGUGGAGGCCGAGAACUGGAAGAACGGGGACACCUACUCCUGCAUGGUGGGCCACGAGGCCCUGCCCCUGAGCUUCACUCAGAAGACCAUCGACCGCUUGGCGGGUAAACCCACCCAUGUCAAUGUGUCCGUGGUCUUGUCAGAGGUGGACGGCACCUGCUACUGA
Molossus molossus (Pallas's mastiff bat) is the source of this 1056-nucleotide non-coding RNA. NCBI's taxonomy places the organism in Eukaryota, Metazoa, Chordata, Mammalia, Chiroptera, Molossidae. The record is from the annotation of a RefSeq genome assembly.